Molecule: ribosomal RNA, 430 nt
Filed under: uncultured bacterium
Lineage: Bacteria
Description: bacterial SSU rRNA
Rfam family: Bacterial small subunit ribosomal RNA
Source: RNAcentral
GCUAAACGCGAAGAACCUUACCAAGGCUUGACAUGCAUCUCUAAGCGCGUGAAAGCGCGUGACCCUUCGGGGAAUUUGCACAGGUGCUGCAUGGCCGUCGUCAGCUCGUGUCGUGAGAUGUUGGGUUAAGUCCCGCAACGAGCGCAACCCCUCGUGAUUAGUUGUCCACGCGGAGUAAUAGCCGGGGACCGUCUAGUCAGACUGCCCACGAUCAACUAGGGAGGGAAGGUGGGGACGGACGUCAGGUCGAGUAUGGCCCGUUACCGUCCUUCGGGUCGUGCACACGUACUACAAUGCCCACGUACAAUGAGAACCGACGACCGCGAGGUGGAGGAAAUACUGCAAAACUAGGGCCCGACGUUCGGUAGUUGAAGGCGUGCAACUACGAGUGCAUGAAAUUAGGAAUCGCUAGUAAUCGUAGAUCAGCACG